This 253-nucleotide ribosomal RNA is filed under the name uncultured bacterium. RNAcentral's name for it is "partial 16S ribosomal RNA". It matches the Rfam family "Bacterial small subunit ribosomal RNA", at positions 524 to 776 of the family's 1533-position model. The record is from RNAcentral.
GACGAACCGUGCUAACGUUGUUCGGAAUCACUGGGCUUAAAGGGCGCGUAGGCGGGCAUGCAAGUCAGGGGUGAAAGCCCACGGCUCAACCGUGGAAGUGCCUUUGAUACUGCGUGUCUUGAGCGAGGUAGGGGCGUGCGGAACUUCCGGUGGAGCGGUGAAAUGCGUAGAUAUCGGAAGGAACACCGGUGGCGAAAGCGGCGCGCUGGGCCUCUUCUGACGCUGAGGCGCGAAAGCCAGGGGAGCAAACGGG